GAGUUGUAUGAAAGGAGAGAGGGUUCACACUCCCCUCAAUAAGGAUGGAAGGGGUCCUGGUGGUCUUACAACAUUCAAAUGGUUAAGGCAUUGUAAUCUACUUAGUGGCAUCUAACCACGCUU
Rhincodon typus (whale shark) is the source of this 123-nucleotide small nuclear RNA. The record is from RefSeq and is a predicted model, not a curated record. NCBI's taxonomy places the organism in Eukaryota, Metazoa, Chordata, Chondrichthyes, Orectolobiformes, Rhincodontidae.